CCGCGGUAAAACCGGUUACUCCUACGGGAGGCAGCAGUGGGGAAUAUUGGACAAUGGGCGCAAGCCUGAUCCAGCAAUGCCGCGUGAGUGAUGAAGGCCUUCGGGUUGUAAAGCUCUUUCGCCCGCGACGCGGUAGCGGGAGAAGAAGCCCCGGCUAACUUC
RNAcentral lists this ribosomal RNA (162 nucleotides) under uncultured bacterium. Its description in RNAcentral is "partial 16S ribosomal RNA". It matches the Rfam family "Bacterial small subunit ribosomal RNA", at positions 305 to 504 of the family's 1533-position model. The record is from RNAcentral.